UUUUGACCUCGGAUCAGGUAGGGAUACCCGCUGAACUUAAGCAUAUCAAA
RNAcentral lists this ribosomal RNA (50 nucleotides) under Alternaria alternata. RNAcentral's name for it is "partial 28S ribosomal RNA". The record is from RNAcentral. Lineage: Eukaryota; Fungi; Ascomycota; Dothideomycetes; Pleosporales; Pleosporaceae.